CCUAUGGGGGGCAGCAGGCGCGAAACCUCCACAAUGUACGAAAGUGCGAUGGGGGGAUCCCAAGUGCUAUUCUUAACAGAAUAGCUUUUCAUUAGUGUAAAAAGCUUUUAGAAUAAGAGCUGGGCAAGACCGGUGCCAGCCGCCGCGGUAAUACCGGCAGCUCAAGUGGUAGCUGUUUUUAUUGGGCCUAAAGCGUUCGUAGCCGGUUUAAUAAGUCUUUGGUGAAAGCUUGUAGCUUAACUAUAAGAAUUGCUGGAGAUACUAUUAGACUUGAAGUCGGGAGAGGUUAGAGGUACUACCGGGGUAGGGGUGAAAUCCUAUAAUCCUGGGAGGACCACCUGUGGCGAAGGCGUCUAACUAGAACGAUCUUGACGGUGAGUAACGAAAGCCAGGGGCGCGAACCGGAUUAGAUACCCGCGUAGUCC
Molecule: ribosomal RNA, 425 nt
Filed under: uncultured Methanosphaera sp.
Lineage: Archaea; Methanobacteriati; Methanobacteriota; Methanobacteria; Methanobacteriales; Methanobacteriaceae
Description: bacterial SSU rRNA
Rfam family: Archaeal small subunit ribosomal RNA
Source: RNAcentral